This 713-nucleotide long non-coding RNA is filed under the name Numida meleagris (helmeted guineafowl). RNAcentral describes it as "lncRNA (ENSNMEG00000000182.1)". The record is from RNAcentral. Lineage: Eukaryota; Metazoa; Chordata; Aves; Galliformes; Numididae.
UGGGGUUGGGGAUGGUUACUUGGAGGGGAUGGGGAGGGUCAGGUUGUGGGGAUGGUCAACUGGUGGAGGUGGGCAUGGUCAACUGGUGGGGAUGGUCAACUGGUGGAGGUGGGCAUGGUCAACUGGUGGGGGUGGUCAACUGGUGGGGAUGGGCAUGGUCAACUGGUGGAGUUGGGGAUGGUCAACUGGUGGGGGUGGUCAACUGGUGGGGUUGGAGAGGGUCAACUGGUGAGGGUGGUCAACUGGUGGGGAUGGGCAUGGUCAACUGCUGGGGAUGGGCAUGGUCAACUGGUGGGGAUGGUCAACCGGUGGAGGUGGGCAUGGUCAACUGGUGGGAAUGGGGAGCACCAACUGGUGGAGUUGGGGAUGGUCAACUGGUGGGGAUGGGGAGCACCAACUGGUGGAGUUGGAGAUGGUCAACUGGUAGGAAUGGGCAUGGUCAGCUGGUGGGGAUGGUCAACUGGUGGGGAUGGGCAUGGUCAACUGGUGGAGUUGGGGAUGGUCAGCUGGUGGGGGUGGUCAACUGGUGGGGAUGGUCAACUGGUAGGGGUGGAGAGGGUCAACUGGUAGGGGUGGUCAACUGGUGGAGGUGGAGAUGGUCAACUGGUGGGGAUGAGGAGCACCAACUGGUGGAGUUGGAGAUGGUCAACUGGUGGGAAUGGGCAUGGUCAGCUGGUGGGGAUGGUCAACUGGUGGGGAUGACCAACUGGUAG